UCGAGGAUCUUCGGCAAUGGGGGAAACCCUGACCGAGCGACGCCGCGUGCGGGAUGAAGGCCUUCGGGUUGUAAACCGCUGUCAGAGGGGAGGAAAUGCCGGGAAGUAAUUCAUAAUCGACCCGGUUUGACCUAUCCUCAGAGGAAGGACGGGCUAAGUUCGUGCCAGCAGCCGCGGUAAUACGAACCGUCCAAACGUUAUUCGGAAUCACUGGGCUUAAAGGGUGCGUAGGCGGCCCGGUAAGUUGGGUGUGAAAGCCCUCGGCUCAACCGAGGAAUUGCGCCCAAAACUGCCGGGCUCGAGGGAGACAGAGGUGAGCGGAACUUAGGGUGGAGCGGUGAAAUGCGUUGAUAUCCUAAGGAACACCAGUAGCGUAAGCGGCUCACUGGGUCUCUUCUGACGCUGAGGCACGAAAGCUAGGGGAGCGAAGAG
This 432-nucleotide ribosomal RNA is filed under the name uncultured bacterium. Its description in RNAcentral is "bacterial SSU rRNA". It matches the Rfam family "Bacterial small subunit ribosomal RNA", at positions 355 to 775 of the family's 1533-position model. The record is from RNAcentral.